Molecule: ribosomal RNA, 705 nt
Filed under: Streptomyces sp. 11485
Lineage: Bacteria; Bacillati; Actinomycetota; Actinomycetes; Kitasatosporales; Streptomycetaceae
Description: bacterial SSU rRNA
Rfam family: Bacterial small subunit ribosomal RNA
Source: RNAcentral
UUCGGUGGUGGAUUAGUGGCGAACGGGUGAGUAACACGUGGGCAAUCUGCCCUUCACUCUGGGACAAGCCCUGGAAACGGGGUCUAAUACCGGAUAACACUCUGUCCCGCAUGGGACGGGGUUAAAAGCUCCGGCGGUGAAGGAUGAGCCCGCGGCCUAUCAGCUUGUUGGUGGGGUAAUGGCCUACCAAGGCGACGACGGGUAGCCGGCCUGAGAGGGCGACCGGCCACACUGGGACUGAGACACGGCCCAGACUCCUACGGGAGGCAGCAGUGGGGAAUAUUGCACAAUGGGCGAAAGCCUGAUGCAGCGACGCCGCGUGAGGGAUGACGGCCUUCGGGUUGUAAACCUCUUUCAGCAGGGAAGAAGCGAAAGUGACGGUACCUGCAGAAGAAGCGCCGGCUAACUACGUGCCAGCAGCCGCGGUAAUACGUAGGGCGCAAGCGUUGUCCGGAAUUAUUGGGCGUAAAGAGCUCGUAGGCGGCUUGUCACGUCGGAUGUGAAAGCCCGGGGCUUAACCCCGGGUCUGCAUUCGAUACGGGCUAGCUAGAGUGUGGUAGGGGAGAUCGGAAUUCCUGGUGUAGCGGUGAAAUGCGCAGAUAUCAGGAGGAACACCGGUGGCGAAGGCGGAUCUCUGGGCCAUUACUGACGCUGAGGAGCGAAAGCGUGGGGAGCGAACAGGAUUAGAUACCCUGGUAGUCCACG